Molecule: ribosomal RNA, 776 nt
Filed under: uncultured Neocallimastigales
Lineage: Eukaryota; Fungi; Neocallimastigomycota; Neocallimastigomycetes; Neocallimastigales
Description: partial large subunit ribosomal RNA
Rfam family: Eukaryotic large subunit ribosomal RNA
Source: RNAcentral
AGAGAUGUGUGAUGACGCAUAUCAAUAAGCGGAGGAAAAGAAACUAACAAGGAUUCCCUUAGUAACGGCGAGUGAAGCGGGAAGAGCUCAAAUUUGAAAUCUUCAAGGUUCUACCUUGACGAAUUGUAGUUUAUAAGAAGUGUUUUCUGUUAGUAGAGUGGCAAAAGUUCUUUGGAAUAGGACAUCAUAGAGGGUGAGAAUCCCGUAUUUGGUCAUUCUUUCUAGCUUUGUGAUACACUUUCAACGAGUCGGAUUGUUUGGGAAUGCAGUCCAAAAUGGGUGGUAAAUUUCAUCUAAAGCUAAAUAUUGGCGAGAGACCGAUAGCGAACAAGUACCGUGAGGGAAGGAUGAAAAGAACUUUGAAAAGAGAGUUAAACAGUACGUGAAAUUGUCAAAAGGGAAGCGUUUGACACCAGUGUUGUUUUUCCGAGAAAUCAAUUACGAAUGUUUUAUUUUUGAGAGUUAUGACUUCAUCGGCUUGCUUCCUCUCUUUAUGAAACUUUCUUAAUGCACUUUUCGGUUAACAAGUCAACAUCAAUUUCUUUUGUAGUAAAAGGGUAUGAGGAAGGUGGCUUUCUUUUCGGAGAAAGUGUUUAUAGCCUUGUGCCUCUGCAAUCGGAGAGAUUGAGGUCUGCAGCGUAGAUCCUUCGGGGUUAGAUACAUUUGUGCUAAGUUAUAGCUUUUCAUAGACAACUUGUUGACUAUGUUAAGUCUUGUAGCUUACUCGCUUAUGCUAUUUUACCUACGCUUAGGAUGUUGACAGCAGUAUAGACUGU